RNAcentral lists this ribosomal RNA (567 nucleotides) under uncultured bacterium. Its description in RNAcentral is "partial 16S ribosomal RNA". It matches the Rfam family "Bacterial small subunit ribosomal RNA", at positions 355 to 912 of the family's 1533-position model. The record is from RNAcentral.
UGGGGAAUUUUGGACAAUGGGCGAAAGCCUGAUCCAGCAAUGCCGCGUGUGUGAAGAAGGCCUUCGGGUUGUAAAGCACUUUUGUCCGGAAAGAAAUCCUUGGCUCUAAUACAGUCGGGGGAUGACGGUACCGGAAGAAUAAGCACCGGCUAACUACGUGCCAGCAGCCGCGGUAAUACGUAGGGUGCAAGCGUUAAUCGGAAUUACUGGGCGUAAAGCGUGCGCAGGCGGUUUGCUAAGACCGAUGUGAAAUCCCCGGGCUCAACCUGGGAACUGCAUUGGUGACUGGCAGGCUAGAGUAUGGCAGAGGGGGGUAGAAUUCCACGUGUAGCAGUGAAAUGCGUAGAGAUGUGGAGGAAUACCGAUGGCGAAGGCAGCCCCCUGGGCCAAUACUGACGCUCAUGCACGAAAGCGUGGGGGAGCAAAACAGGAUUAGAUACCCUGGUAGUCCACGCCCUAAAACGAUGUCAACUAGUUGUUGGGGAUUCAUUUCCUUAGUAACGUAGCUAACGCGUGAAGUUGACCGCCUGGGGGAGUAGGUCGCAAGAUUAAAACUCAAAUGAAUUG